AUCCAGCCGACGAGUCUCAAAUAGAACGAAACGCGCAUUCUGGAU
Schistosoma haematobium is the source of this 45-nucleotide non-coding RNA. The record is from Rfam. Lineage: Eukaryota; Metazoa; Platyhelminthes; Trematoda; Strigeidida; Schistosomatidae.